CGAGCGGUUCGCUGUGUGCGUUGUGCGG
Molecule: small RNA, 28 nt
Filed under: Bombyx mori (domestic silkworm)
Lineage: Eukaryota; Metazoa; Arthropoda; Insecta; Lepidoptera; Bombycidae
Description: ovarian small RNA-14232
Source: RNAcentral